This 950-nucleotide long non-coding RNA is filed under the name Capra hircus (goat). Its description in RNAcentral is "lncRNA (ENSCHIG00010005577.1)". The stretch from base 871 to 943 matches the Rfam family "tRNA". The record is from RNAcentral. Lineage: Eukaryota; Metazoa; Chordata; Mammalia; Artiodactyla; Bovidae.
AUGGCUUGAUGCAGUUAGAUAUAUGUAUAUACUUACAUUCUAUGGUGUUUUAUUUGGUAAAAACACACAAAAUUAAGUUUACCAUAAUAACUAUUUAAAUGUACAUUUCAGUAAUGUUAAGUGUAUCCGCAUUGUUGUACAACAAAGAUUCUCUAAAUCUUUUUAUCUUGCAAAAUUGAAACUGUAUACCCACUGAGCAUGAAUUCCUCCUCCCCAGGGGAAAAUUUUCAUUUUAAUUCAUCCUUAUAAUGAAGCAUUCAGAAUACAUAAAGAACUCCUUAAAAUAAUCUCAAAAUCAGACUACUUCUAGAAAGAGUCAAGGAAUCAUUUAGUACUCUUAAGUGUACAAAUAAAAGAAAAACUAUCCAACUCAAAUCAACUAAUAAAUUAAUAAAAAGGAAUUUAGAGGCUCCUGCAAAUAAUAGUCUUCUAUCUGGGGCUCAAAUGAUGGAACCAGGACUAGCUUCUCUUGCAUUUCUGUUCUGUCUCUAGGUGUUAUUUCCCUUCCCAGGGUGGUGGGAGCAGCACCAGCCAACCCUUUCUUCCUGGGCCUUGUGAGGAGGCUCUUUCUUCCCGGCAAUCCAAACAGACAACUCCUCAGUCUAAUGAGGACUCAGAAAACCUCAGUGUGGCCACCAUCUGCCCAUCACCAUGCUGAAGUUGCUCCAGUGAACUUAGAGGCCAAACUAAGUGAAUUCUGGGUCUUGAGACACAUCAAAGCAGACCACUCCUCCUACUUGGGUGAGCCAGAAUUUUAAAUUUCAGUGUUUAACUUCCUCUCUCCUUUUUCUCCUUUACUUUUUAACUGUUGUUAUUGAAAAUAAUGCAACAUUUUAAAAUUGUACAUAAAAAUAAUUACCCUCAGGGAAUUCCCUGGUUGUCCAGUGGUUAGGACUCAGAACUUUCACUGACGAUGACCUGGGUUCGAUCCCUGGUCAGGGAACUAAUAU